This 497-nucleotide ribosomal RNA is filed under the name uncultured bacterium. RNAcentral describes it as "partial 16S ribosomal RNA". It matches the Rfam family "Bacterial small subunit ribosomal RNA", at positions 28 to 507 of the family's 1533-position model. The record is from RNAcentral.
GAUGAACGCUGGCGGCGUGCCUAAUACAUGCAAGUCGAGCGAACGGACGAGAAGCUUGCUUCUCUGAUGUUAGCGGCGGACGGGUGAGUAACACGUGGAUGACCUACCUAUAAGACUGGGAUAACUUCGGGAAACCGGAGCUAAUACCGGAUAAUAUUUUGAACCGCAUGGUUCAAAAGUGAAAGACGGUCUUGCUGUCACUUAUAGAUGGAUCCGCGCUGCAUUAGCUAGUUGGUAAGGUAACGGCUUACCAAGGCAACGAUGCAUAGCCGACCUGAGAGGGUGAUCGGCCACACUGGAACUGAGACACGGUCCAGACUCCUACGGGAGGCAGCAGUAGGGAAUCUUCCGCAAUGGGCGAAAGCCUGACGGAGCAACGCCGCGUGAGUGAUGAAGGUCUUCGGAUCGUAAAACUCUGUUAUUAGGGAAGAACAUAUGUGUAAGUAACUGUGCACAUCUUGACGGUACCUAAUCAGAAAGCCACGGUUAACUACGUG